RNAcentral lists this ribosomal RNA (368 nucleotides) under Bacillus sp. Em4. RNAcentral describes it as "bacterial SSU rRNA". It matches the Rfam family "Bacterial small subunit ribosomal RNA", at positions 64 to 422 of the family's 1533-position model. Lineage: Bacteria; Bacillati; Bacillota; Bacilli; Caryophanales; Bacillaceae. The record is from RNAcentral.
CGGACAGAUGGAGAGCUUAGCUCCCUGAUGAUUAGACGGCGGACGGGUGAGUAACACGUGGGUAACCUGCCUGUAAGACUGGGAUAACUCCGGGAAACCGGGGCUAAUACCGGAUGCUUGUUUGAACCGCAUGGUUCAAACAUAAAAGGUGGCUUCGGCUACCACUUACAGAUGGACCCGCGGCGCAUUAGCUAGUUGGUGAGGUAAUGGCUCACCAAGGCGACGAUGCGUAGCCGACCUGAGAGGGUGAUCGGCCACACUGGGACUGAGACACGGCCCAUACUCCUACGGGAGGCAGCAGUAUGGAAUCUUCCGCAAUGGACGAAAGUCUGAAUUACAACGCCGCGUGGGUGAUGAUGGUCGGCGGA